CUCUUCACUCACUUCCAUGAUUUCCUUCUUCUCCUUCCUUUUAUAAUCAUCUUUAUAGGUCAUGUCACAUCUUGACGACCCAAUUCUUAAAUACUACUAUUACAAUUUGAUUUCAUUUUCUUGUUACCAGAAAUAUUUACUCAUUGGACCACUUGGUUUCUUCUCAAAUGAUUUCAUUAUUUAUGUCUCCGCCUUAUAGGUUUUUGUAAGUUUAAACAAAUUGAUAAUUUAUGGUCCGCUUAUUGAUAUAUGCUUUUUUAUAUGCUAACAAUAAAAUACCCAUAAUCCGAUCAUUGACAUUAAUUAGAUAACAAUAAGAGAUACCUACCCAUACGAUAAAUGAAAAAUGCGAGUAAGGUACAGCCGACUUUGUACCUCUAUCUCCAACUUUUUUAUCUCCGUCUCCCUGUC
Molecule: long non-coding RNA, 411 nt
Filed under: Brassica napus (rape)
Lineage: Eukaryota; Viridiplantae; Streptophyta; Magnoliopsida; Brassicales; Brassicaceae
Description: long non-coding RNA (BNAP_LNC006324)
Source: RNAcentral